This 741-nucleotide long non-coding RNA is filed under the name Homo sapiens (human). RNAcentral describes it as "non-protein coding lnc-USP53-8:18". The record is from RNAcentral. Lineage: Eukaryota; Metazoa; Chordata; Mammalia; Primates; Hominidae.
AAAUCACUGGUGUAAUGUAUGAUAUUAACAUCUGCACCAAUUACUGUUAUAGGUGGAACCAAAGUUUUAAUCAAAGAAGGUGGUGUUCAGUUGCUGCUUACAAUAGUUGAUACCCCAGGAUUUGGAGAUGCAGUGGAUAACAGUAAUUGCUGGCAGCCUGUUAUCAAUUACAUUGAUAUUAAAUUUGAGGACUACCUAAAUGCAGAAUCGCGAGUGAACAGAUGUCAGAUGCCUGGUAACAGGGUGCAGUGUUGUUUAUACUUCAUUGCUCCUUCAGGACAUGGACCAUUACAUAACUGAAGACUCCCACCUUCAGGCAGGAUUGGGUAGUACGUGUUUGUAACUACCUGGCAUUGCCUUUUGUUGAGGAAGGGUAGAUGUCUACCCAAAUGGAAUAUUGAGUAUCAGAGACUUCAAAUGAUAACUUUUGUUUGUUUGGAGAAAAUCUUGAGGACGUGAUCACUGUACAAAAGCAUGGCAAAAUGAGGAAACCACUGACAGGUGAAGAAUUUGCACAAUGGAAAACCACCUUGACCAUCUCAUGACUUUAUACAGGAAUCGGAGACAUCCAAGGCCAUUCCAUUUCUAAAUCACACUUAUCCCUCAAUCAAGUCAGUGACUGGAUCAUCUCCUAAGGUUUCACCUGCUUUGCAUCAGGUAGGUGAGAUGAAAGUGAUUUUAUGGGUAGCUUUCAGAAAAAUGUACUGCACUGAAGUGACAAAGUUCUGUCUUGCCUGUUCU